AGCAGCCGCCACGGUAAUACGUAGGUGGCAAGCGCUGUCCGGAAUUAUUGGGCGUAAAGGGCUCGCGGGCGGUUUCUUAAGUCUGAUGUGAAAGCCCCCGGCUCAACCGGGGAGGGUCAUUGGAAACUGGGAAACUUGAGUGCAGAAGAGGAGAGUGGAAUUCCACGUGUAGCGGUGAAAUGCGUAGAGAUGUGGAGGAACACCAGUGGCGAAGGCGACUCUCUGGUCUGUAACUGACGCUGAGGAGCGAAAGCGUGGGGAGCGAACAGGAUUAGAUACCCCUGUAGUCCCUGUCUCUUAU
Molecule: ribosomal RNA, 301 nt
Filed under: uncultured bacterium
Lineage: Bacteria
Description: partial 16S ribosomal RNA
Rfam family: Bacterial small subunit ribosomal RNA
Source: RNAcentral